GUCUACAGCUCUACCACCCUGAACACGCCCGACCUCGUUUGAUCUCGGAAGUUCAGCAGGGUCGGGCCUGGUUAGUACUUGGGUGGGAAACCACCUGGGAAUGUCGGGUGCUGUAGGCA
Callithrix jacchus (white-tufted-ear marmoset) is the source of this 119-nucleotide ribosomal RNA. The record is from Ensembl. Lineage: Eukaryota; Metazoa; Chordata; Mammalia; Primates; Cebidae.